GGCUGGUCUGAGUGCAGUGGUGUUUACAACUAAUUGAUCACAGCCAAUUACAGAUUUCUUUCUUCCUUCUCCACUCCCACUGUUUCACUUGACUAGCCUUUA
RNAcentral lists this Y RNA (102 nucleotides) under Saimiri boliviensis boliviensis (Bolivian squirrel monkey). Its description in RNAcentral is "Y RNA (ENSSBOG00000004289.1)". It matches the Rfam family "Y RNA". From Rfam's summary of the family: Y RNAs are components of the Ro ribonucleoprotein particle (Ro RNP), in association with Ro60 and La proteins. The record is from Rfam by way of RNAcentral. Lineage: Eukaryota; Metazoa; Chordata; Mammalia; Primates; Cebidae.